UGCAGCCAUAAAGAAGAGCAUCAACAUGAGAUAACUUAUCCACGUACACACCAACGCACAUCUUCGCUAGACAAGUCACAGAGAUGGCAUUUGGCUCUGCUUCCUCGGGGAAUUGUUCACAGCACAGAAUUAUCACACAGUUUAACACAGCUGGCAGUCUGGGCUCAAGAGGAAACAGAAAAAGAUUGGAGAGGAUAAACAGCAGUUGCUGACUAUUGAAAUAUCAAACUGAUUUGGGAGGCCGAGGUGGAUGGAUCAUCUGAGCUCAGGAGUUCAAGACCAGCCUGAUGAAUAUGGUGAAACCUCGUCUCUACUAAACAAAUACAAAAAUUACCCGGGCAUGGUGGCAUGCACCUGUAGUCCCAGCUACUCGGGAGGCUGAGACAAGAGAGUUGAUUGAACCCAGGAGGCGGAGGUUGCAGUGAGCUGAAAUUGCGCCACUGCACUCUAGCCUGGGUGACAGAACGAGACUCCAUCUACAAAAAAAAAAAAAAAAAAAAAAAAAGAAAAAAGAAAUACCAAACUGAGACUAGAAAUAAGCAAGAGAAGCAGCAUUACAACAGGUGUUUAUUGGAGCUCUUUUCCUAGAACUGAUAAUUGGAUUCAUGGUAUUCUGGAGAACAAGAUUCAGUCUCACUUCUCUGAGUCAAUUUUCACCAGGCAGCAUCUAGGGAGGAUCGGCCAUUCAUCAAGCAACCAUGGACCUGGGUACAAUGAGGUCAUGGUAAGCUGUGGGAAUCUGACCUGCUCUCUGCUAGUGGAUGAAGCUACAUCAUUCAACUUCUUGCUGAGUUCCUUCACUGUGAAUUCUACUUCUUCAUUGAAACUAAAAGGAUGAUUCGACCAUCAACACUGUGGAAUGCAGGCAUUCUUCAAGACUGUAUUUUCCAGGCGAGACUUCACAGCAUUGUAAUCUCUGGGUCUGGAGGACUGCACACUUGCUUUUCUGAUGUCUGAGAGGGAGUGAGCUCAAAGAUCUCUUCUAUUUCUUUUAGCAUGAAGGGUAUACUGCCCACUUAGCAAUUCCUAUCCUCCCUUGACAUUCCACAGCUCCUUUUUAUUCACGGAGUGAUGCAGGUGUCAUUACUUCUCAGUUUCUGUCUUUUGUGAAUACUGGAGAUCCUCCUGAGGCAUGCCAUCUUAUCACCACAAGUCAAUAUUCAUUUGCUUUCUUCAAGGUGCAUAGCACCAGCCUAUAGUGCUCAUCAGAGACAGUCUCAUUGUCAAAGUGGUUAAGGAGGAAGUAUAAUUCCUGGCCUAAAAAUCAUUUGGCCUCCAGCCCCUGUGUGUCUACAUCCUAAAGAAAAUAAAUAACAAUUUUCCAAAUGGCUAUUUGCCACUUAAAACGAAAUCAGCUCUUGACAAUAAACCAAUUUAAC
RNAcentral lists this long non-coding RNA (1379 nucleotides) under Pan paniscus (pygmy chimpanzee). Its description in RNAcentral is "lncRNA (ENSPPAG00000045471.1)". The record is from RNAcentral. Lineage: Eukaryota; Metazoa; Chordata; Mammalia; Primates; Hominidae.